This 285-nucleotide unclassified non-coding RNA is filed under the name plant metagenome. Its description in RNAcentral is "partial contains small subunit ribosomal RNA, internal transcribed spacer 1, and 5.8S ribosomal RNA". The stretch from base 1 to 54 matches the Rfam family "Eukaryotic small subunit ribosomal RNA", at positions 1778 to 1831 of the family's 1831-position model. The record is from RNAcentral.
GGAAGUAAAAGUCGUAGCAAGGUUUCCGUAGGUGAACCUGCGGAAGGAUCAUUAUUGUAUAACCGAGGUGCGAGGGCUGUCGCUGACCCGAAAGGUCGUGCACGCCCGAGUGCCCUCACACACAUCCAUCUCACCCCUAUGUGCAUCACCGCGUGGGUCCCCCUUUGGCUUGUUCGGAGGGGGGCUUACGUUUUCACACAAACUUUGUAUGCAGUGUAGAAUGUAUUUUUUGUUUUUGCGAUCACGCAAUCAAUACAACUUUCAACAACGGAUCUCUUGGCUCUC